AUGCGGGGUCCUCGGGCUACAACACAGGACCCGGGCGCUGCUCUGACCCCUCGUGUCUUGUGUUGCAGCCGGAGGGACGCA
This 81-nucleotide microRNA precursor is filed under the name Mesocricetus auratus (golden hamster). RNAcentral describes it as "mir-187 microRNA precursor family". It matches the Rfam family "mir-187 microRNA precursor family". The record is from Rfam by way of RNAcentral. Lineage: Eukaryota; Metazoa; Chordata; Mammalia; Rodentia; Cricetidae.